CAAUACAGUGUUGAGAGAGAGAGUGAGUUCCAUGCCUUCCACAUACCUGAGAGAGAGAGAUAGAGAGGGAUUACCAGUAUUACAUCAUAUCAAUAAUCCAUCUUUGACAGUUAUCCAGAAACUAAUACUAAAUGUUCAAAUGUUCACAAUUGUUGGUUGUGCAUACUAUACAAUUCCAUAACCAGUUCACCACCAGUUUAUCCUGUUCUACCUGUUUUUGUUCACACUAUACAGUUUCACACUUCAUCAAUGUCAUCUGCCAUCGUCAUUGACUAUCUUGCUGCCAACAUUGUCAUCUCAGUUGUAUCAUCUCUGUCGGCUGCCCUGACAGGACAAGCUGUGUUUCCAUAUUUGAGCUUGCAUCAGCAUUGUUUCUUAUUCACUAAUAACAAAUUAUUGACUUCUCUUUUCCUAUCUCCUCCUUAUCUCUCUGUUCUUCGCCUCUUCUUUCUACACAAAAUCUGUUGUAUUUAUUACAUCUUUGGACCAGGAAAUUUCCCAUGAUUUGAAGACAGUGUAAGGUAUAUAUUAAUGACUUUAAUAUUAAAAGAAAAUAAAAGAAUAAAAAAAUCUCGAUGUUUACCUGCCGGAGAGGGGACGGUGGUGGACCACUGCGAACCAGGAGAAAGUGCCGGAAGUGGGUGGUAGGACGACAGAAAAAAGUUAUUGGUUUAAAGAAAUUAAUUUGUUUUAUUU
RNAcentral lists this long non-coding RNA (696 nucleotides) under Androctonus crassicauda. The record is from RNAcentral. Lineage: Eukaryota; Metazoa; Arthropoda; Arachnida; Scorpiones; Buthidae.